CUGAUCCUGAACUACACAAGACACAACAACUGAUCUAUUCAACACAGUUCAAUCUACAAACCAGGAACAUUCCCUUUAUUCAACAUGCUGGACCUGGAUUACUGGAUGGUUUAUGGGUUGAUUCUAACCAUUACAACACGUAUCGACUGUGAAGAACUGAGUCCAGUCAAGAAUGAAGAGUCCAGUUUAGAAGGAAACUCUGUUACUCUCAUAUAUAAAUACGCUCAACAAAUGUCUAAUGUUUAUAAUUUCUUCUGGUAUCGACAAUAUCCUGGAAAACCACCAGAGCUCCUCAUCUCACACUCAUCCUCAGGAUCAACAGGAAUUGAAAUCGUGUCUGGACUGAAGAUUAAUGUGGAGAAAAACCUCAUCUCUAUGAGCAUCUCCUCUGCUGCAGUGUCAGACUCUGCUGUGUACUACUGUACUUUGAUUGUCCUCAUUGAACCAUCCUACUCCAUUAGUGGUGCUGAGCUACUGACCAACUCCAGACACAAACAGUACCUUGGUCCAGACCAUUGA
Molecule: non-coding RNA, 519 nt
Organism: Sphaeramia orbicularis (orbiculate cardinalfish)
Lineage: Eukaryota; Metazoa; Chordata; Actinopteri; Kurtiformes; Apogonidae
Source: the annotation of a RefSeq genome assembly